UACAGAGGUCCCAAGCGUUGUUCGGAUUCAUUGGGCGUAAAGGGCGCGUAGGCGGCCCGCUAAGUCGAACGUGAAAUCCCCGAGCUCAACUCGGGAACUGCGUCCGAUACUGGCGGGCUUGAAUCCGGGAGAGGGAUGCGGAAUUCCAGGUGUAGCGGUGAAAUGCGUAGAUAUCUGGAGGAACACCGGUGGCGAAGGCGGCAUCCUGGACCGGCAUUGACGCUGAGGCGCGAAAGCUAGGGGAGCAAACGGG
This 253-nucleotide ribosomal RNA is filed under the name uncultured bacterium. Its description in RNAcentral is "partial 16S ribosomal RNA". It matches the Rfam family "Bacterial small subunit ribosomal RNA", at positions 524 to 776 of the family's 1533-position model. The record is from RNAcentral.